UUUACCUGAUAUGGUCCUGUUUGCACCAUCAGCCAGCAACCUUUCUGGGAAGCAUGCUUAUUAUGUACCAACAUAGAAGCUUGAAUAUAAGAACAGAACACAAGAACGGGGCUGAAGCUCUAACAGAAAAGACAUAAGACCCUUGAGAAAGCAUUACUUGAACACAAGGUUUCUGGGACAUUAAACAUGGGUAUAAGUGCUGCUAUAGUACCUUUCUGGGGAAGACUUCCUCCUGUCUCGGGGACUUAGGCAUCAUUAUCAAAGGCAGGGUGGGAUGAAGAAAGUAAAGUGAAUGCUCUGGUAGACUGAGAAGUCUAGGAUAUACAGGGGGACUUCAGGUGUCAAAACAAGAGGAGAAGGCUUCAGAAGCACACAAUGUCAGGGUCGGAAUUGAAGCCAGGUUGUAGCCCAAAGGGGACAGACAGCCCUGCCAGUUACUGGUGCUUCAGAGGUGGCACGGCUGCUCUCGGAGAAGCAACUGACUAUUUCAGUUUUCCCUGACUACAGCUAUAAGGACGCUCCCUACCUGCCACCCUCCAUAUCAAUCCCCGCCCGCACCUAGACACCCGAAUCA
RNAcentral lists this non-coding RNA (574 nucleotides) under Pan troglodytes (chimpanzee). Lineage: Eukaryota; Metazoa; Chordata; Mammalia; Primates; Hominidae. The record is from RNAcentral.